CUACGGGUGGCAGCAGUGAGGAAUUUUGCGCAAUGGGGGAAACCCUGACGCAGCAACGCCGCGUGAGUGAAGAAGGCCCUUGGGUCGUAAAGCUCUGUCAAUGGGGAAGAAGUUAUUAUGUGUUAAUAGCACAUUUUAUUGACGGUACCCAUGAAGGAAGCACCGGCUAACUCCGUGCCAGCAGCCGCGGUAAUACGGGGGGUGCAAGCGUUAUUCGGAAUUAUUGGGCGUAAAGGGCACGCAGGCGGUCCUGUCAGUCAGAUGUGAAAGCCCGGGGCUCAACCCCGGACGUGCAUUUGAAACAGCAGGACUUGAGUACGGGAGAGGAAAGGGGAAUUCCUGGUGUAGAGGUGAAAUUCGUAGAUAUCAGGAGGAACACCGGUGGCGAAGGCGCCUUUCUGGACCGAUACUGACGCUGAGGUGCGAAGGCGUGGGUAGCGAACGGGAUUAGAUACCCGCGUAGUC
This 465-nucleotide ribosomal RNA is filed under the name uncultured bacterium. RNAcentral's name for it is "partial 16S ribosomal RNA". It matches the Rfam family "Bacterial small subunit ribosomal RNA", at positions 339 to 795 of the family's 1533-position model. The record is from RNAcentral.